AAUACGAGUUGGCUUAUCGCGUCUGAGCAAUCAGGCGAGGAAAGUCCGGGCAGCGCAGAGCACCCUACUUCCUAACGGGAAGGAGAACGGUUGGGAACGACCGUUCGACAGCUAGUGUCACAGAAAAUAUACCGCCGAAAGGUAAGGGUGAAAAGGUAAGGUAAGAGCUUACCGCCCGCUGGGUGAUCAGCGGGGCAGGAUAAACCUUAGGGGCUGAAAGACCAAAUAAGCGUCGGACGUGGGGCGGCUCGUUCCCGUUCGGGCGUAAGCCCGAUGCCGACGCGGGUAGGUCGAACGAGGUGGCCGGUGACGACCAUCCCAGAUAAAUGAUAAGCCAUCUGACUCAGCCACAAGCCUACGUCAGUGGACAGAACCCGGCUUAUAGGCUCGUAUUGCCC
RNAcentral lists this RNase P RNA (398 nucleotides) under Spirosoma agri. RNAcentral's name for it is "Bacterial RNase P class A". It matches the Rfam family "Bacterial RNase P class A". From Rfam's summary of the family: Ribonuclease P (RNase P) is a ubiquitous endoribonuclease, found in archaea, bacteria and eukarya as well as chloroplasts and mitochondria. Its best characterised activity is the generation of mature 5'-ends of tRNAs by cleaving the 5'-leader elements of precursor-tRNAs. Lineage: Bacteria; Pseudomonadati; Bacteroidota; Cytophagia; Cytophagales; Cytophagaceae. The record is from Rfam by way of RNAcentral.